CCGCGUUGGCAGUGUGGUUAGCUGGUUGUUUAUGUCAUAACAACAGCCACUAGCGACACUGCCUCUGCGU
This is a non-coding RNA of Manduca sexta (tobacco hornworm), 70 nucleotides long. NCBI's taxonomy places the organism in Eukaryota, Metazoa, Arthropoda, Insecta, Lepidoptera, Sphingidae. The record is from Rfam.